This 472-nucleotide ribosomal RNA is filed under the name uncultured bacterium. RNAcentral's name for it is "bacterial SSU rRNA". It matches the Rfam family "Bacterial small subunit ribosomal RNA", at positions 355 to 825 of the family's 1533-position model. The record is from RNAcentral.
UGGGGAAUUUUGGGCAAUGGGCGCAAGCCUGACGAAGCAACGCCGCGUGGAGGAUGAAGGUCUUCGGAUUGUAAACUCCUGUCGACCGGGACGAAUGCACCCGACCUAAUACGUCGAAGUGUUGACGGUACCGGUGGAGGAAGCCACGGCUAACUCUGUGCCAGCAGCCGCGGUAAUACAGAGGUGGCAAGCGUUGUUCGGAAUUACUGGGCGUAAAGCGUGCGCAGGCGGUUAUGCAAGACAGAUGUGAAAUCCCCGGGCUCAACCUGGGAACUGCAUUUGUGACUGUAUAGCUAGAGUACGGUAGAGGGGGAUGGAAUUCCGCGUGUAGCAGUGAAAUGCGUAGAUAUGCGGAGGAACACCGAUGGCGAAGGCAAUCCCCUGGACCUGUACUGACGCUCAUGCACGAAAGCGUGGGGAGCAAACAGGAUUAGAUACCCCCGUAGUCCCUGAGCGGGCUGGCAAGGCGCAU